This is a long non-coding RNA of Olea europaea var. sylvestris, 509 nucleotides long. RefSeq lists it as uncharacterized. The transcript is spliced from 2 exons. Lineage: Eukaryota; Viridiplantae; Streptophyta; Magnoliopsida; Lamiales; Oleaceae. The record is from RefSeq and is a predicted model, not a curated record.
UCCAAUUGAAGUCAUAUUUUGAAAUCGGCAAAGACACACAUUGCAAAGCUCAAACCCUUCCAUUUCCAUUUGAAGCAGUAGUAGCAGUUGCGCCUGUGAUUUGCAAAGUGUGAAUUCAUGGACCAUGUCACCGUGUGCGAAGUGCGAAAUCAGAAAGUGUGACUCCGAGUCUCCGAGGCCCGAGCAAGCAACCUGCAGUUUAGUGUGGGCUAUUGGAAGUUGACAAAGCAGCUGAAUUGGAAAGACAUGAAGGAGCUGGUUAAAGAAUCAGCAAUACAAGCAACAAUUGAAAGAUGCUCACACAAUUGACAGCCAACUUGGAAUAACAGAAUGAGAAUUCUCUAGAAGAAGGAAAAGGAAUUUUGUAAAUUAGUUACCUUUCUGUUGUGAGAACGUGUAUGUAAAUUAUUUCUUUUAGAAUAGCCUAUUGUGUGUAUAUAUACUUUGCUUUUCUGUACAGUCUCAACAAGCAGAAAAAUCAAUACAAUUCUUUGCUUUAUUUCUGCCUC